Molecule: transfer RNA, 72 nt
Filed under: Phrynosoma platyrhinos (Desert horned lizard)
Lineage: Eukaryota; Metazoa; Chordata; Lepidosauria; Squamata; Phrynosomatidae
Description: tRNA-OTHER
Source: RNAcentral
GCCAACGUGGCAUAGUGGUUUGAGUGUUGGACUAUGAUUCUGGAGGCCAGGGUUCAAUUCACUACUCAGCCA